ACGGGAGGCAGCAGUGGGGAAUAUUGGGCAAUGGGCGCAAGCCUGACCCAGCGACGCCGCGUGAGGGAAGAAGGUCUUCGGAUUGUAAACCUCUUUCAGCAGGGAAGACAGAAGACGGUACCUGCAGAAGAAGUCACGGCUAACUACGUGCCAGCAGCCGCGGUAAUACGUAGGUGGCGAGCGUUAUCCGGAAUUACUGGGUGUAAAGGGUGUGUAGGCGGAGAGGCAAGUCAGGCGUGAAAUGCGUGGGCUCAACCCACGAAUUGCGCUUGAAACUGUUUCCCUUGAGAGUGGGAGAGGUUAACGGAAUUCCUGGUGUAGUAGUGAAAUGCGUAGAUAUCAGGAGGAACACCAGUGGCGAAGGCGGCUUACUGGACGAUAACUGACGUUGAGGCUCGAAAGCGUGGGGAGCAAACAGGAUUAGAUACCCUGGUA
Molecule: ribosomal RNA, 435 nt
Filed under: uncultured Oscillospiraceae bacterium
Lineage: Bacteria; Bacillati; Bacillota; Clostridia; Eubacteriales; Oscillospiraceae
Description: bacterial SSU rRNA
Rfam family: Bacterial small subunit ribosomal RNA
Source: RNAcentral